This 1439-nucleotide ribosomal RNA is filed under the name uncultured organism. RNAcentral's name for it is "16S ribosomal RNA". It matches the Rfam family "Bacterial small subunit ribosomal RNA". The record is from RNAcentral.
GCUUAACACAUGCAAGUCGAGGGGCAGCAUGGUCUUAGCUUGCUAAGGCCGAUGGCGACCGGCGCACGGGUGAGUAACACGUAUCCAACCUGCCGUCUACUCUUGGACAGCCUUCUGAAAGGAAGAUUAAUACAAGAUGGCAUCAUGAGUCCGCAUGUUCACAUGAUUAAAGGUAUUCCGGUAGACGAUGGGGAUGCGUUCCAUUAGAUAGUAGGCGGGGUAACGGCCCACCUAGUCUUCGAUGGAUAGGGGUUCUGAGAGGAAGGUCCCCCACAUUGGAACUGAGACACGGUCCAAACUCCUACGGGAGGCAGCAGUGAGGAAUAUUGGUCAAUGGGCGAGAGCCUGAACCAGCCAAGUAGCGUGAAGGAUGACUGCCCUAUGGGUUGUAAACUUCUUUUAUAAAGGAAUAAAGUCGGGUAUGGAUACCCGUUUGCAUGUACUUUAUGAAUAAGGAUCGGCUAACUCCGUGCCAGCAGCCGCGGUAAUACGGAGGAUCCGAGCGUUAUCCGGAUUUAUUGGGUUUAAAGGGAGCGUAGAUGGAUGUUUAAGUCAGUUGUGAAAGUUUGCGGCUCAACCGUAAAAUUGCAGUUGAUACUGGAUAUCUUGAGUGCAGUUGAGGCAGGCGGAAUUCGUGGUGUAGCGGUGAAAUGCUUAGAUAUCACGAAGAACUCCGAUUGCGAAGGCAGCCUGCUAAGCUGCAACUGACAUUGAGGCUCGAAAGUGUGGGUACCAAACAGGAUUAGAUACCCUGGUAGUCCACACGGUAAACGAUGAAUACUCGCUGUUUGCGAUAUACAGCAAGCGGCCAAGCGAAAGCGUUAAGUAUUCCACCUGGGGAGUACGCCGGCAACGGUGAAACUCAAAGGAAUUGACGGGGGCCCGCACAAGCGGAGGAACAUGUGGUUUAAUUCGAUGAUACGCGAGGAACCUUACCCGGGCUUAAAUUGCAGAUGAAUUACGGUGAAAGCCGUAAGCCGCAAGGCAUCUGUGAAGGUGCCGCAUGGUUGUCGUCAGCUCGUGCCGUGAGGUGUCGGCUUAAGUGCCAUAACGAGCGCAACCCUUGUUGUCAGUUACUAACAGGUUCCGCUGAGGACUCUGACAAGACUGCCAUCGUAAGAUGUGAGGAAGGUGGGGAUGACGUCAAAUCAGCACGGCCCUUACGUCCGGGGCUACACACGUGUUACAAUGGGGGGUACAGAGGGCCGCUACCACGCGAGUGGAUGCCAAUCCCCAAAACCUCUCUCAGUUCGGACUGGAGUCUGCAACCCGACUCCACGAAGCUGGAUUCGCUAGUAAUCGCGCAUCAGCCACGGCGCGGUGAAUACGUUCCCGGGCCUUGUACACACCGCCCGUCAAGCCAUGGGAGCCGGGGGCACCUGAAGUGCGUAACCGCGAGGAGCGCCCUAGGGUAAAACUGGUGACUGGGGCUAAGUCGU